AUGCAAGUUGAGCGGCAAGGCGGGGUAACCCGCCCUAGAGCGGCGGACUGGUGAGUAACGCGUGGGUAAUCUACCUUGGGCAUGGGGAUAGCCACUAGAAAUAGUGGGUAAUACCGAAUACGUUCCACGGGGGAAGGGCUUGUGGAAGAAAGGGUGCUACGGCACUGGCCUGAGAUGAGCUCGCGUCCCAUUAGCUAGUUGGUGAGGUAACGGCCCACCAAGGCGAUGAUGGGUAGCCGGCCUGAGAGGGUGUACGGCCACACUGGGACUGAGAUACGGCCCAGACUCCUACGGGAGGCAGCAGCUAAGAAUAUUCCGCAAUGGACGGAAGUCUGACGGAGCGACGCCGCGUGGAUGAUGAAGGCCGAAAGGUUGUAAAGUUCUUUUGCUGGGGAAGAAUAAGCCUAGGAGGGAAUGCCUAGGUGAUGACAUGAACCGGCGAAUAAGCCCCGGCCAACUACGUGCCAGCAGCCGCGGUAA
Molecule: ribosomal RNA, 480 nt
Filed under: uncultured bacterium
Lineage: Bacteria
Description: bacterial SSU rRNA
Rfam family: Bacterial small subunit ribosomal RNA
Source: RNAcentral